Molecule: ribosomal RNA, 464 nt
Filed under: uncultured Klebsiella sp.
Lineage: Bacteria; Pseudomonadati; Pseudomonadota; Gammaproteobacteria; Enterobacterales; Enterobacteriaceae
Description: bacterial SSU rRNA
Rfam family: Bacterial small subunit ribosomal RNA
Source: RNAcentral
CCUACGGGUGGCUGCAGUGGGAAUAUUGCACAAUGGGCGCAAGCCUGAUGCAGCCAUGCCGCGUGUGUGGAGCAGGCCUUCGGGUUGUAAAGCACUUUCAGCGGGGAGGAAGGCGGUGAGGUUAAUAACCUCAUCGAUUGACGUUACCCGCAGAAGAAGCACCGGCUAACUCCGUGCCAGCAGCCGCGGUAAUACGGAGGGUGCAAGCGUUAAUCGGAAUUACUGGGCGUAAAGCGCACGCAGGCGGUCUGUCAAGUCGGAUGUGAAAUCCCCGGGCUCAACCUGGGAACUGCAUUCGAAACUGGCAGGCUAGAGUCUUGUAGAGGGGGGUAGAAUUCCAGGUGUAGCGGUGAAAUGCGUAGAGAUCUGGAGGAAUACCGGUGGCGAAGGCGGCCCCCUGGACAAAGACUGACGCUCAGGUGCGAAAGCGUGGGGAGCAAACAGGAUUAGAUACCCCUGUAGUC